ACAUGCCUACAACAUAGCGUUAAUGCACCAAAUCCCAUUAGAAAUCUGCAAUUAAACAUGCUCAAGCUAGAGUAGUACUGGAAUAGGUGACUUCUCAAGAAGUCCUAGUGUUUUACAUGCC
This is a non-coding RNA of Picea glauca (white spruce), 121 nucleotides long. NCBI's taxonomy places the organism in Eukaryota, Viridiplantae, Streptophyta, Pinopsida, Pinales, Pinaceae. The record is from Rfam.